This 458-nucleotide unclassified non-coding RNA is filed under the name Acidithiobacillus thiooxidans. RNAcentral's name for it is "16S-23S ribosomal RNA intergenic spacer". The stretch from base 46 to 119 matches the Rfam family "tRNA". Lineage: Bacteria; Pseudomonadati; Pseudomonadota; Acidithiobacillia; Acidithiobacillales; Acidithiobacillaceae. The record is from RNAcentral.
AAAGAAACGGGUCUAGACCCCACACACGCCACUCGGUAAAGAAUCGGGCCUAUAGCUCAGCUGGCUAGAGCACACGACUGAUAAUCGUGAGGUCAGUGGUUCGAGUCCACUUGGGCCCACCAAAUGGGGCUGUAGCUCAGCUGGGAGAGCAUCGGCUUUGCAAGCCGAGGGUCACCGGUUCGAUCCCGGUCAGCUCCACCAAAGGGAAGAGGCCCGCAGCGCGCGGGUCGGCGGCUCGGGUGGAGGCGGUAGCGGUGUAAAAGCCGUCAAGAAGUAGCCGUAAAGCGGAAUAAGAAGGCGUAGUAAAAAGAGUCUGUAGUAGUGAGUUUCUGAUCAGAAGCUGAGUACUACCGAUUCAGGGUAACGAAGCGGUAUUGUUCUUUGACAGUUGAGGAAGGGAAGGCCAUGUAUGUCAUCUUGCCGAUGGCAUGCCUCCAAGUGGAUGCUUGGGGAUAUAU